GAUGAACGCUGGCGGCGUGCCUAAUACAUGCAAGUCGAGCGAACGGACGAGAAGCUUGCUUCUCUGAUGUUAGCGGCGGACGGGUGAGUAACACGUGGAUAACCUACCUAUAAGACUGGGAUAACUUCGGGAAACCGGAGCUAAUACCGGAUAAUAUUUUGAACCGCAUGGUUCAAAAGUGAAAGACGGUCUUGCUGUCACUUAUAGAUGGAUCCGCGCUGCAUUAGCUAGUUGGUAAGGUAACGGCUUACCAAGGCAACGAUGCAUAGCCGACCUGAGAGCGUAAUCGGCCACACUGGAACUGAGACACGGUGCAGACUCCUACGGGGGGCAGCAGUAGGGAAUCUUCCGCAAUGGGCGAAAGCCUGACGGAGCAACGCCGCGUGAGUGAUGAAGGUCUUCGGAUCGUAAAACUCUGUUAUUAGGGAAGAACAUAUGUGUAAGUAACUGUGCACAUCUUGACGGUACCUAAUCAGAAAGCCACGGCUAACUACGUG
Molecule: ribosomal RNA, 497 nt
Filed under: uncultured bacterium
Lineage: Bacteria
Description: partial 16S ribosomal RNA
Rfam family: Bacterial small subunit ribosomal RNA
Source: RNAcentral